AUGAAGGCCAACGUAGACAACCUAAAGCCGCUCCAGGUCGGCAUGGCCGUCUGCGACCACCAAGGCCAGCAGGUAGCCUGGGAGUUCAACCUCCGCGACUUCUGCCGCCUCGCCGACCCGCACGACGACAAGGCCCUCGACUACACCUCGCCCGCCGCGGCCUCGACCUCGACACGCUCCGCAACUAGGGCGUCGACGCCUACGUGCUCGGCUUGCUGCUCAUGGGCUCCGGCCUCAUCGGCGCCGGACACGGGCGGCCGCUGUCGUGGAUCACCCACGCCGGUGCCUACCACGUGGCGUACCUCCUCAAGAUUGUCAUGGGCGGCGCCCCGCUGCCGAACGACGUGGCCGGGUUCCUCGGCGCCAUGCGGCACUACCUCGGCCAGCAGGUCUUCGACGUUGCCACCAUGGCGGCCGGCUGCCCGGGCAUGCCGGUGGGGCUGGACCUCAUCGCCGCUAACCUGCGCAUCCAUCCGCCGUGGGGUAGCCCUCGCCUCGCAGGCGCCGCCGGCGUGCGCGCGCUUCUGGCCUUCAGUAUUUUGA
This 543-nucleotide ribosomal RNA is filed under the name Triticum aestivum (bread wheat). RNAcentral describes it as "partial small subunit ribosomal RNA". The record is from RNAcentral. Lineage: Eukaryota; Viridiplantae; Streptophyta; Magnoliopsida; Poales; Poaceae.